AAUGGCUGACAACAAUGAAACAGCCAGGAGAGCAGUGACGAUGAUUCUGACAAUGUCACUGCUCUUCUGGCUGUUUCAUUGUUGUCAGCCAUU
Molecule: microRNA precursor, 93 nt
Filed under: Strigamia maritima
Lineage: Eukaryota; Metazoa; Arthropoda; Chilopoda; Geophilomorpha; Linotaeniidae
Description: microRNA mir-241
Source: RNAcentral